RNAcentral lists this unclassified non-coding RNA (1406 nucleotides) under Eurytemora carolleeae. Its description in RNAcentral is "uncharacterized LOC111716725". The record is from RNAcentral. Lineage: Eukaryota; Metazoa; Arthropoda; Copepoda; Calanoida; Temoridae.
UAUAUUAAAGGCUCUAUUUACGGCUUUAUUUACAAGUGAAAUCUUUUUAAACAGUGAAAUAGUUAUUAACCCAUUGAUGCCAAAAGCGUCGGUUUUUGAUCCGUUCUAAAACUUUUAAAUUUGGAAGAUUUCUUUUAACUUUUUUCAAUAUUCUUAUUAAACUAAAUUCUUAUUUGAGCAGUGCAUAUUGGGUUAUAUUUUAUCUUUUUUCUUGCACUUGAUAUUCUUUUAAUUUAGCAAGCGUGCACGUGUGUUGUUGUUCAUUGUGGUUUAUAUCGGUUCAGCAGUAUCCUCAAGCAAACUUAUUGCUCUCCUUAAGCAAACUUAUUGCUCAAGACCCUGCUGGAUCUACCCUAGCUCUGUUCAACCCCGAUCAGCGAAACAAGUGCCCCGAGAGCAGACUGGAAACCAUGUAUAAUGGAAGCUCUCAACCGGAUUAUUGAUGAACUGCAUGAGGGCAAGUUCCGAAAACUUUUGGAAAUGCCAAUUCAUACCAAUGUAUAUUAAUUUACCUUAAAUUCAUAAACGCAAUUUUAAUGGCAACACAAUUAAAGAGUUUCAUUGAUAUAGUAAUUUCUUUCUUUACAUAAAUCCCGCCGUCCAUUUUACAGAGACCCAAACAUUCAAAAUAAGCAAUCAUCAGAUAGGAAAACGAGGAUAUCUUCAUAUUUGCAAAUGCAAGUGUAAUGCUAAAACUUUUUUUUAUUAUUUUAGACUUGUAAUGCAAACCUUAUUAACGCUUAUUGGAUCUGGGUUUACCACGACUUUUCAACUUGGGCUCAGACUAAUGGAUUUAGUGGUGUCACCUUUCACCAAAUGAAAGAUAAAAGUAAAGAAUCUAGGACGGAAUAAACAGCAAAAAUCGUUCCGCGAAUCUAUCAGCCAGGAGCUGAUAUUGGCAACAGAAAGAAAUGAAAAGCAGCAGCUUGCCGCUGUAAGCAGAUACAGGAGUAGAACGGGGGGAGGAAGCAGUAUCCCUGAUGCCCCAAUUAUGGAUCCUCUGUUGAUCAGGAAUUGGUUUAUCUGUUUUUACGUUUUAAUGGAACUGUAAACAUAUAAUUUUGACUGGUCAUUCAUUUAAAAGAGUCGCUGGCAGAGUACUGUAAAAAACCGUUUUUUAUUUGAAUUUUCAUGUAUAUAUGUGUAUAUAUCAAUACAAUGAAGACAAAUUUCGCAAUUUUUUUAACGUACAGAUAAACUAUAAUAAACAAAUAGUGAGGACCAGCAUCUGAACCUAAAAUAUGGUUUAAUGACCGAAUUUGGUUCUUCAUUUACGCCAGCAUAAAGGACCACUAAGACCAUACCCUGCUCCACUGCUCCAGCUCCUAUACAACCUCAACCUCAACAUCAACAUCAACAUCAACAUCAACAUCAACAUCAACAUCAACCUCAACCUCAACCUCAAC